UAUUCUACCCUACGGGGAAGGAUGAGAAGCUUCGACUAAGGUUCGACUCGAGCGCCAGCGAGAGAACGUUGCCAAGGGCAACGGCCCGAAGGGCGAGGAGCGAUAGCGACGAGUUAUCCUUCCCCCACCACCA
RNAcentral lists this small RNA (133 nucleotides) under Klebsiella variicola. RNAcentral describes it as "RtT sRNA". It matches the Rfam family "RtT RNA". Rfam says of the family: This family represents a bacterial cis-regulatory element known as RtT RNA. The exact function of RtT is unknown although it is thought that it may be involved in changing the cellular response in relation to amino acid starvation. Lineage: Bacteria; Pseudomonadati; Pseudomonadota; Gammaproteobacteria; Enterobacterales; Enterobacteriaceae. The record is from RNAcentral. RNAcentral also lists the same sequence under 7 other names.